CCUACGGGUGGCAGCAGUGGGGAAUAUUGCACAAUGGGGGAAACCCUGAUGCAGCGACGCCGCGUGAGUGAAGAAGUAAUUCGUUAUGUAAAGCUCUAUCAGCAGGGAAGAAAAUGACGGUACCUGAGUAAGAAGCCCCGGCUAACUACGUGCCAGCAGCCGCGGUAAUACGUAGGGGGCAAGCGUUAUCCGGAUUUACUGGGUGUAAAGGGCGUGUAGGCGGGACUGCAAGUCAGAUGUGAAAACCAUGGGCUCAACCCAUGGCCUGCAUUUGAAACUGUAGUUCUUGAGUGUUGGAGAGGCAGGCGGAAUUCCGUGUGUAGCGGUGAAAUGCGUAGAUAUACGGAGGAACACCAGUGGCGAAGGCGGCCUGCUGGACAAUAACUGACGCUGAGGCGCGAAAGCGUGGGGAGCAAACAGGAUUAGAUACCCCUGUAGUC
This 440-nucleotide ribosomal RNA is filed under the name uncultured bacterium. RNAcentral describes it as "partial 16S ribosomal RNA". It matches the Rfam family "Bacterial small subunit ribosomal RNA", at positions 338 to 795 of the family's 1533-position model. The record is from RNAcentral.